AUUUAGUUAGUUUAAGAAAAAUUUUGAUUUGUGGUAUCAAAGAUAUAAAGUUAUACUAAAUU
RNAcentral lists this transfer RNA (62 nucleotides) under Leptomona erythrocephala. RNAcentral describes it as "tRNA-His". The record is from RNAcentral. Lineage: Eukaryota; Metazoa; Arthropoda; Insecta; Coleoptera; Chrysomelidae.